AAGGUUAAGCAAACGCGAAGCCGUAGCGAAAGCGAGUCUGAAUAGGGCGCUUAGUCAGAUGCUGCAGACCCGAAACGAAGUGAUCUAUCCAUGAGCAAGUUGAAGCUAGUGUAAGAACUAGUGGAGGACUGAACCCAUAGGCGUUGAAAAGCCCCGGGAUGACUUGUGGAUAGGGGUGAAAGGCCAAUCAAACUUCGUGAUAGCUGGUUCUCUCCGAAAUAUAUUUAGGUAUAGCGUUGUGUCGUAAUAUAAGGGGGUAGAGCACUGAAUGGGCUAGGGCAUACACCAAUGUACCAAACCCUAUCAAACUCCGAAUACCUUAUAUGUAAUCACAGCAGUCAGGCGGCGAGUGAUAAAAUCCGUCGUCAAGAGGGAAACAACCCAGACUACCAGCUAAGGUCCCUAAAUCUUACUUAAGUGGAAAACGAUGUGAAGUUACUUAAACAACCAGGAGGUUGGCUUAGAAGCAGCCAUCCUUUAAAGAAAGCGUAAUAGCUCACUGGUCUAGUGAUUUUGCGCGGAAAAUAUAACGGGGCUAAAGUAAGUACCGAAGCUGUAGACUUGCACACAACUUAGAUUAUUUAAGUUUAGAAUAUGAGAAACUAAGUUAUAUGUUUAGUUAUAUUUUUACUGAUUUUUAUAGAGUAAAGAUAGAAAUAAAACUUAGUAAAAUCAGUAAAAAUAUUCUUAGGCUAAAGUUAAGUAGUUUAAGUUGUGUGCAAGUGGUAGGAGAGCGUUCUAUUUGCGUCGAAGGUAUACCGGUAAGGAGUGCUGGAGCGAAUAGAAGUGAGCAUGCAGGCAUGAGUAGCGAUAAUUAAUGUGAGAAUCAUUAACGCCGUAAACCCAAGGUUUCCUACGCGAUGCUCGUCAUCGUAGGGUUAGUCGGGUCCUAAGUCGAGUCCGAAAGGGGUAGACGAUGGCAAAUUGGUUAAUAUUCCAAUACCAACAUUAGUGUGCGAUGGAAGGACGCUUAGGGCUAAGGGGGCUAGCGGAUGGAAGUGCUAGUCUAAGGUUGUAGGAGGUUAUACAGGCAAAUCCGUAUAACAAUACUCCGAGAACUGAAAGGCUUUUUGAAGUCUUCGGAUGGAUAGAAGAACCCCUGAUGCCGUCGAGCCAAGAAAAGUUUCUAAGUUUAGCUAAUGUUGCCCGUACCGUAAACCGACACAGGUGGGUGGGAUGAGUAUUCUAAGGCGCGUGGAAGAACUCUCUUUAAGGAACUCUGCAAAAUAGCACCGUAUCUUCGGUAUAAGGUGUGGUUAGCUUCGUACUAGGAUUUACUCCGAAAGCGAAGAAACUUACAACAAAGAGUCCCUCCCGACUGUUUACCAAAAACACAGCACUCUGCUAACUCGUAAGAGGAUGUAUAGGGUGUGACGCCUGCCCGGUGCUCGAAGGUUAAUUGAUGGGGUUAGCAUUAGCGAAGCUCUUGAUCGAAGCCCGAGUAAACGGCGGCCGUAACUAUAACGGUCCUAAGGUAGCGAAAUUCCUUGUCGGUUAAAUACCGACCUGCAUGAAUGGCGUAACGAGAUGGGAGCUGUCUCAAAGAGGGAUCCAGUGAAAUUGUAGUGGAGGUGAAAAUUCCUCCUACCCGCGGCAAGACGGAAAGACCCCGUGGACCUUUACUACAGCUUGACACUGCUACUUGGAUAAGAAUGUGCAGGAUAGGUGGGAGGCUUUGAGUAUAUGACGCCAGUUGUAUAUGAGCCAUUGUUGAGAUACCACUCUUUCUUAUUUGGGUAGCUAACCAGCUUGAGUUAUCCUCAAGUGGGACAAUGUCUGGUGGGUAGUUUGACUGGGGCGGUCGCCUCCCAAAUAAUAACGGAGGCUUACAAAGGUUGGCUCAGAACGGUUGGAAAUCGUUCGUAGAGUAUAAAGGUAUAAGCCAGCUUAACUGCAAGACAUACAAGUCAAGCAGAGACGAAAGUCGGUCUUAGUGAUCCGGUGGUUCUGUGUGGAAGGGCCAUCGCUCAAAGGAUAAAAGGUACCCCGGGGAUAACAGGCUGAUCUCCCCCAAGAGCUCACAUCGACGGGGAGGUUUGGCACCUCGAUGUCGGCUCAUCGCAUCCUGGGGCUGGAGCAGGUCCCAAGGGUAUGGCUGUUCGCCAUUUAAAGCGGUACGCGAGCUGGGUUCAGAACGUCGUGAGACAGUUCGGUCCCUAUCUGCCGUGGGCGUAAGAAGAUUGAAGAGAUUUGACCCUAGUACGAGAGGACCGGGUUGAACAAACCACUGGUGUAGCUGUUGUUCUGCCAAGAGCAUCGCAGCGUAGCUAAGUUUGGAAAGGAUAAACGCUGAAAGCAUCUAAGCGUGAAGCCAACUCUAAGAUGAAUCUUCUCUAAGCUCUCUAGAAGACUACUAGUUUGAUAGGCUGGGUGUGUAAUGGAUGAAAGUCCUUUAGCUGACCAGUACUAAUAGAGCGUUUGGCUUAUCUUUAAUAAAGCAU
This 2441-nucleotide ribosomal RNA is filed under the name Campylobacter jejuni. RNAcentral describes it as "partial 23S ribosomal RNA". It matches the Rfam family "Bacterial large subunit ribosomal RNA", at positions 642 to 2925 of the family's 2925-position model. The record is from RNAcentral. Lineage: Bacteria; Pseudomonadati; Campylobacterota; Epsilonproteobacteria; Campylobacterales; Campylobacteraceae.